Molecule: long non-coding RNA, 387 nt
Organism: Athene cunicularia (burrowing owl)
Lineage: Eukaryota; Metazoa; Chordata; Aves; Strigiformes; Strigidae
Exons: 3
Source: RefSeq, a predicted model, not a curated record
GUUUCAGAGGAUGUGCACACCUUUCACUUGCAUUACCAUUUCAUGUGCUCUCACAGCUCUCCAAGAAACAGCUUAGCAGGAGCUGAGUUCAAGGAGCCGAUGUGUUUUAAGUAGCUUUAUUAGGUGCAAAAGAGCACAAGAACAGGUGAUGGAGAGUGUCCUGCCUCAGGCCUGACGUGGCCUUGCAGAUCAAAGAAGUGGCCAUUUUUGAGCAUGAAGAAGAAUUCCAUAGCCCUGGGACACCACCUGUGCUUCAUCAGAAGAGACUCACAUCAGAAAGCAAUGGCAUUGCAAAGGACACAGCUUCCCUGGUGCAGAGGUGGAUUUUGAAGACUUCAGCACUGUACCUGUGACUAGACUAAUUUGCUCUGGGAUUUCUUUACUGCA